UUCUUGCUUUGCUGCUGCUGAUGCAGGUGAUCUUGGGCGAUCUUGUUGUCGACGUGCUGCCUCGCUAUCUUCCUUUCAACCAGCAGCUGUGCUUCCAGCUCUUUGAUCUGGAUAUAUAAUGAGAGAGCAAGUAAAUAACUGCGCUGGAGGAACCAAUUAAGCAGCCGAAGAUAAAAGAUGCUUGAAGUACCUUCUCUUGGAGAUUCAUAAUUCAAAAUCAACUGCCAUCGAAGCCCCUUCUUCAAUUUCUUCACCAUUUAAUGGCCGACACCGGCAAAAAACUCUUAUGUUACCUGAUCAAUACGCAAGACAUAGUAAUUAGUAAGUCUAUUAUUAUCACCAUCUGUUGCAGUAGCAAUAAAUCAAACCAACAAAUAGCAACAAAUCAAACCAACCUUUGACCUCUAUAAGCUUGUUGUAAAGAUCUUUUCUUUCUUUUG
This is a non-coding RNA of Oryza sativa Japonica Group (Japanese rice), 440 nucleotides long. The record is from RefSeq and is a predicted model, not a curated record. Lineage: Eukaryota; Viridiplantae; Streptophyta; Magnoliopsida; Poales; Poaceae.